GACGAACGCCGGCGGCGUGCUUAACACAUGCAAGUCGAACGGAAAGGCCCUGCUUUUGUGGGGUGCUCGAGUGGCGAACGGGUGAGUAACACGUGAGUAACCUGCCCUUGACUUUGGGAUAACUUCAGGAAACUGGGGCUAAUACCGGAUAGGAGCUCCUGCUGCAUGGUGGGGGUUGGAAAGUUUCGGCGGUUGGGGAUGGACUCGCGGCUUAUCAGCUUGUUGGUGGGGUAGUGGCUUACCAAGGCUUUGACGGGUAGCCGGCCUGAGAGGGUGACCGGCCACAUUGGGACUGAGAUACGGCCCAGACUCCUACGGGAGGCAGCAGUGGGGAAUAUUGCACAAUGGGCGGAAGCCUGAUGCAGCAACGCCGCGUGCGGGAUGACGGCCUUCGGGUUGUAAACCGCUUUCGCCUGUGACGAAGCGUGAGUGACGGUAAUGGGUAAAGAAGCACCGGCUAACUACGUGCCAGCAGCCGCGGUGAUACGUAGGGUGCGAGCGUUGUCCGGAUUUAUUGGGCGUAAAGGGCUCGUAGGUGGUUGAUCGCGUCGGAAGUGUAAUCUUGGGGCUUAACCCUGAGCGUGCUUUCGAUACGGGUUGACUUGAGGAAGGUAGGGGAGAAUGGAAUCCCUGGUGGAGCGGUGGAAUGCGCAGAUAUCAGGAGGAACACCAGUGGCGAAGGCGGUUCUCUGGGCCUUUCCUGACGCUGAGGAGCGAAAGCGUGGGGAGCGAACAGGCUUAGAUACCCUGGUAGUCCACGCUGUAAACGGUGGGUACUAGGUGUGGGGUCCAUUCCACGGGUUCCGUGCCGUAGCUAACGCUUUAAGUACCCCGCCUGGGGAGUACGGCCGCAAGGCUAAAACUCAAAGGAAUUGACGGGGCCCCGCACAAGCGGCGGAGCAUGCGGAUUAAUUCGAUGCAACGCGUAGAACCUUACCUGGGUUUGACAUGGAUCGGGAGUGCUCAGAGAUGGGUGUGCCUCUUUUGGGGUCGGUUCACAGGUGGUGCAUGGCUGUCGUCAGCUCGUGUCGUGAGAUGUUGGGUUAAGUCCCGCAACGAGCGCAACCCCUGUUCACUGUUGCCAGCACGUUAUGGUGGGGACUCAGUGGAGACCGCCGGGGUCAACUCGGAGGAAGGUGGGGAUGACGUCAAGUCAUCAUGCCCCUUAUGUCCAGGGCUUCACGCAUGCUACAAUGGCUGGUACAGAGAGUGGCGAGCCUGUGAGGGUGAGCGAAUCUCGGAAAGCCGGUCUCAGUUCGGAUUGGGGUCUGCAACUCGACCUCAUGAAGUCGGAGUCGCUAGUAAUCGCAGAUCAGCAACGCUGCGGUGAAUACGUUCCCGGG
This 1343-nucleotide ribosomal RNA is filed under the name uncultured bacterium. RNAcentral describes it as "16S ribosomal RNA". It matches the Rfam family "Bacterial small subunit ribosomal RNA", at positions 28 to 1378 of the family's 1533-position model. The record is from RNAcentral.